Molecule: ribosomal RNA, 619 nt
Filed under: bacterium
Lineage: Bacteria
Description: bacterial SSU rRNA
Rfam family: Bacterial small subunit ribosomal RNA
Source: RNAcentral
GAGCGGAAAGGCCCUUCGGGGUACUCGAGCGGCGAACGGGUGAGUAACACGUGAGUAAUCUGCCCCAGGCUCUGGGAUAGCCACCGGAAACGGUGAUUAAUACCGGAUACGACAACUUCCUGCAUGGGAUGGUUGUGGAAAGUUUUUCGGCCUGGGAUGUGCUCGCGGCCUAUCAGCUUGUUGGUGAGGUAAUGGCUCACCAAGGCUUCGACGGGUAGCCGGCCUGAGAGGGUGACCGGCCACACUGGGACUGAGACACGGCCCAGACUCCUACGGGAGGCAGCAGUGGGGAAUAUUGGACAAUGGGCGGAAGCCUGAUCCAGCAACGCCGCGUGAGGGAUGACGGCCUUCGGGUUGUAAACCUCUUUCAGCACAGACGAAGCGCAAGUGACGGUAUGUGCAGAAGAAGGACCGGCCAACUACGUGCCAGCAGCCGCGGUAAUACGUAGGGUCCGAGCGUUGUCCGGAAUUAUUGGGCGUAAAGGGCUCGUAGGCGGUCUGUCGCGUCGGGAGUGAAAACCAGGUGCUUAACACCUGGCCUGCUUUCGAUACGGGCAGACUAGAGGUACUCAGGGGAGAAUGGAAUUCCUGGUGUAGCGGUGAAAUGCGCAGAUAUCAG